CGGAUCAGUGGCGAACGGGUGAGUAACACGUGAGCAACCUGCCCCCUACUCUGGGAUAAGCCUUGGAAACGAGGUCUAAUACCGGAUACGAGGCGCCCGGGCAUCUGGAGCGUCUGGAAAGAUUUAUCGGUGGGGGAUGGGCUCGCGGCCUAUCAGCUUGUUGGUGGGGUGAUGGCCUACCAAGGCGACGACGGGUAGCCGGCCUGAGAGGGCGACCGGCCACACUGGGACUGAGACACGGCCCAGACUCCUACGGGAGGCAGCAGUGGGGAAUAUUGCACAAUGGGCGCAAGCCUGAUGCAGCGACGCCGCGUGAGGGAUGACGGCCUUCGGGUUGUAAACCUCUUUCAGCAGGGAAGAAGCGCAAGUGACGGUACCUGCAGAAGAAGCGCCGGCUAACUACGUGCCAGCAGCCGCGGUAAUACGUAGGGCGCAAGCGUUGUCCGGAAUUAUUGGGCGUAAAGAGCUCGUAGGCGGUCUGUCGCGUCUGCUGUGAAAACCUCAGGCUCAACCUGGGGCUUGCAGUGGGUACGGGCAGACUAGAGUGCGGUAGGGGUGACUGGAAUUCCUGGUGUAGCGGUGGAAUGCGCAGAUAUCAGGAGGAACACCGAUGGCGAAGGCAGGUCACUGGGCCGCAACU
RNAcentral lists this ribosomal RNA (640 nucleotides) under Cellulomonas sp. I12A-02677. RNAcentral describes it as "bacterial SSU rRNA". It matches the Rfam family "Bacterial small subunit ribosomal RNA", at positions 88 to 741 of the family's 1533-position model. Lineage: Bacteria; Bacillati; Actinomycetota; Actinomycetes; Micrococcales; Cellulomonadaceae. The record is from RNAcentral.